Molecule: ribosomal RNA, 436 nt
Filed under: uncultured bacterium
Lineage: Bacteria
Description: bacterial SSU rRNA
Rfam family: Bacterial small subunit ribosomal RNA
Source: RNAcentral
GCUAAACGCGAAGAACCUUACCAGCCCUUGACAUCCUGUGUUACCUCUAGAGAUAGGGGUCCACUUCGUGGCGCAGAGACAGGUGCUGCAUGGCUGUCGUCAGCUCGUGUCGUGAGAUGUUGGGUUAAGUCCCGCAACGAGCGCAACCCUUGUCCUUAGUUGCCAUCAUUAAGUUGGGAACUCUAAGGAGACCGCCGGUGACAAACCGGAGGAAGGUGGGGAUGACGUCAAGUCAUCAUGGCCUUUAUGACCAGGGCUACACACGUGCUACAAUGGCAGGUACAGAGGGUUGCCAAGCCGCGAGGUGGAGCUAAUCUCACAAAACCGAUCGUAGUCCGGAUCGCAGUCUGCAACUCGACUGCGUGAAGUCGGAAUCGCUAGUAAUCGCGAAUCAGCAUUGCUGCGGUGAAUACGUUCCCGGGUCUUGUACACACCG